GCGAGCGGCGGAUGGGUGAGUAACACGUGGGGAACCUGCCCCUAAGUCUGGGAUACCAUUUGGAAACAGGUGCUAAUACCGGAUAAUAAAGCAGAUCGCAUGAUCAGCUUUUGAAAGGCGGCGUAAGCUGUCGCUAAGGGAUGGCCCCGCGGUGCAUUAGCUAGUUGGUAAGGUAACGGCUUACCAAGGCGACGAUGCAUAGCCGAGUUGAGAGACUGAUCGGCCACAUUGGGACUGAGACACGGCCCAAACUCCUACGGGAGGCAGCAGUAGGGAAUCUUCCACAAUGGACGCAAGUCUGAUGGAGCAACGCCGCGUGAGUGAAGAAGGUUUUCGGAUCGUAAAGCUCUGUUGUUGGUGAAGAAGGAUAGAGGUAGUAACUGGCCUUUAUUUGACGGUAAUCAACCAGAAAGUCACGGCUAACUACGUGCCAGCAGCCGCGGUAAUACGUAGGUGGCAAGCGUUGUCCGGAUUUAUUGGGCGUAAAGCGAGCGCAGGCGGAAAAAUAAGUCUAAUGUGAAAGCCCUCGGCUUAACCGAGGAACUGCAUCGGAAACUGUUUUUCUUGAGUGCAGAAGAGGAGAGUGGAACUCCAUGUGUAGCGGUGGAAUGCGUAGAUAUAUGGAAGAACACCAGUGGCGAAGGCGGCUCUCUGGUCUGCAACUGACGCUGAGGCUCGAAAGCAUGGGUAGCGAACAGGAUUAGAUACCCUGGUAGUCCCAUGCCGUAAACGAUGAGUGCUAAGUGUUGGGAGGUUUCCGCCU
RNAcentral lists this ribosomal RNA (763 nucleotides) under uncultured bacterium. RNAcentral's name for it is "bacterial SSU rRNA". It matches the Rfam family "Bacterial small subunit ribosomal RNA", at positions 91 to 838 of the family's 1533-position model. The record is from RNAcentral.